Molecule: ribosomal RNA, 453 nt
Filed under: uncultured bacterium
Lineage: Bacteria
Description: bacterial SSU rRNA
Rfam family: Bacterial small subunit ribosomal RNA
Source: RNAcentral
UUCCAGACUCCUACGGGAGGCAGCAGUAGGGAAUUUUCGGCAAUGGGGGGAACCCUGACCGAGCAACGCCGCGUGAACGAAGAAGUUAUUCGUAAUGUAAAGUUCUUUUAUCAGGGAAGAAAGAGGAAUUUGACGGUACCUGAGGAAUAAGCUCCGGCUAACUACGUGCCAGCAGCCGCGGUAAUACGUAGGGAGCGAGCGUUAUCCGGAUUUAUUGGGUUUAAAGGGUGCGCAGGCGGCACGGCAAGCCGGCGGUCAAAUCGCGGGGCUCAACCCCGCCCAGCCGUCGGAACUGCCGGGCUAGAGUGGGCGAGAAGUGCGCGGAAUGCGUGGUGUAGCGGUGAAAUGCAUAGAUAUCACGCAGAACUCCGAUUGCGAAGGCAGCGCACCGGCGCCCUACUGACGCUCAGGCACGAAAGCGUGGGUAUCGAACAGGAUUAGAUACCCGCGUAC